UCUUUCUUCUCCCCUCUUUCUCUCUCACCGAUCUCUCACUCUCUCUCAUUCUUCUUCGUUCACUGGGGCUCGGCCGGUCAUUGCGUCGCCGGCGAACGACGCUCGCACCGCCGGCUGCACGCCGCCCACCUCACCGCUGUCAGCAGGUCACGCUGCUGCUCGUACUCCCACUGUCCGCUCCCUCUCACGCAGCUGCGUCGUCGACCACCAGGUCCGGCAGCCCCGUCGCUUAAUCGGGCUCGCCGGCGUGUGAGCCCAGCUGCCGUCGUGGGGUGGGGCAGCGGGGUCAUUCCGGAUGUGAUGUUGCAGCCGCCGGAGCUUCGCUGGCAGCUGGUGCGUUGAGGGGCAGCGGCGACAGGGGUUUGGCGUGAAAGGCUGCCACCGUCUGACAGCAGUAGCAGCAGCGUGUGUGCGUGUAUGGCUGCCGAGAGGGCAGCAAGAUGUGCGUGGCUGCCGCAGACAGCAGCAGCGGCACCAUUCGGGCAGCCCGGUGUUCUCCUAAGUUCACUAAAAGCUAAGUUCUACUAUCUCGAGCUCAACGUUAUUUCCAUGGUUAUCAAAAUUCAUAGAUCUUGAUUGCUUAAAAUAUAUAUAUAUAUAUAUAUAUAUAUAUAUAUAUAUACAUAUAUAUAUAUAUAAUCAUGGUUCUUGGCUCUUUGCUUAAGGAAGUUUGUUCAAGAAAUUUUGUUUAUAAGCAUGAAUGCUUUUCCUACGUUCACGGCAUAUAAGAAGAUGGUAUUUGGUAUGUGAAAAUUCUAAGUGUUCAUGUUUGAAUGUGGUAUGAAAAUGGCUAUGUAGCAAAAUAGUUAUUAGGAGGAAUUACCUUGAGGAGAGGAGGAGAAGAAGGAUAGUGAGUAGGAAAUUGAACUUCUCUUCUUCAAACACUUAUAUGCAUCCUCAUUUUGAUAAAAUUUUGGUUAGAGAAUUUUGUGAAGGAACAAAAAGUAGAGGAUCAUAUAGUGUGGUAUUUAUAGGGAAGAAAGGUGCAUGAUUUACAUGGUUAAAACUUGAUCCAUACGUGGAGGUAUAAUGUCCAAAAGUUAUGGACUUUUUUUUUCCACUAAAAACAAAAAUUCACGUCUUUUCGUUUUGAUGCGACGAGUAAUAAAUGCGGCCUUAGGAAAACGUGCUUGAUGUGAUGCGGUUCUUAUCCACUUGUCGUCUUGAUUUAAUGUCGAAAGUGUAUUUGAUACGUGGUCUAUCCUUUCGUGUAGGUAUCGGGAGUGCAAAAAGUGGUGAUCGAGCAAGACCCGGAGGACAGAAGACGGGUUGUCCCGGUGCUGCCCGGCACUCGGUACGGCUGUCCGGCGCGAGUCCAUCCCGGCACGACUCUUGUGAUAUCCGAAAUCAUUUUCUUAUUCUAAUCUAGCAUCGAACUCGUUGUAAAAAAAACGCUUUUGGACUUUUGCUGGAUGUAUAAGACAUUAAAACUUUGAUUA
Molecule: long non-coding RNA, 1439 nt
Organism: Salvia splendens (bonfire salvia)
Lineage: Eukaryota; Viridiplantae; Streptophyta; Magnoliopsida; Lamiales; Lamiaceae
Exons: 2
Source: RefSeq, a predicted model, not a curated record